Molecule: non-coding RNA, 200 nt
Organism: Rubrivivax sp. SCN 71-131
Lineage: Bacteria; Pseudomonadati; Pseudomonadota; Betaproteobacteria; Burkholderiales; Sphaerotilaceae
Source: Rfam
AGAGUCCCGUCCCGGUNGAAAGUCCGUGAACCGGCGCAUGCCGCUCAGCGGAGAGCAAGCACGCGGGCCGCAACAUGAAGUGAAGCCUGCAGCCUCGACAGAUUUACAAGCCGCAGGCCGAGCCGCUCAUGUCACGGCGAAGGCAACAUCACUGCAGCGAGAUCCGAAGCGCUGUGGUGACUGCGGCGGGGUAGGGGGCG